GUUGGGCUAGCCGAACUUCUCCGCUGGUGUAGUUGACUAUCCUCAAUUUAAUACUUUAUUUGAGAAAUUAUUUACUUUGCGUGUGUUUUGAUAGGACACCAUUAAGGAAUGUUGGUUUUGCUCUUCUCCGAGUAAUUAAUGGGUUUAUUGGGAAGUUAAGUGAUAUUCUCCGGACUCGUGGGUUCCUGUGGCUUCUGAUUUCUGAAAGCAGGUAAGCCACUGACUAACGCACAUUGCGCCUGUUCUCCACUCCACUGUGCGUGUGACAGCGGCUAACCAGCUUUUGGAUGUGUGCCUGACUCACUGGGACUGUCCCACUGGAGACUCCUGAACGGACACAGCCAGGGGAGCGACACUUCUGGCUCCACUGGCCCUCGACGAGUCUUUUUGUUCCUGUUACUCAACUGGUAAUUCUCUGUGCGUGAAAUCAAGCCUGUUCGAUUCCCAUGAGCACGUGUCCCGAAUAAAUGCACGGUGAUCAAUGUAUACAGUAAAUGUACAUGUUGAAUGACACCAGACAGUCACAGUUGUUUUUUCUGGUACUUUUAUAUGCAAUAAUAAUGUUACUAAUAUAUUUUGCAUGCAAUCUUCAGCAGCUCUGAACUUCUGAACCUGUAGGUACAGUAAUACAAGUCCAGUUACAGUAGCUGUGGGAGUGUGUGUCUCUGUGUCAAUUGAAGCAACUUUGAAUCAACAGUGUGACAGUCAGUGUUAUCUUCCAUUCAUUUAUCAUUAAACUUUCAUUUUGUUCACUCUCUUCAGUUUUGGUUUUGUACAUUAUGUGGUUUAGACGUCGAGGUUUUCAUGAUACAGUAUGCCAAUCAAAUUAAAUAUAGAAAUUACAAACUAAAUCUAAACGUUUCCAUAGUAUCUCACAAAAGUGAGUACACCCCUCACAUUUCAGCAAACAUUUUAGUAUAUAUUUUUAAGAGACAAUAUAGAAAUUAAAUUUGGAUAUGUUUAGACUAGAGUAGCCUAAUCACUGUACAGCUUGUAGCAGUGUAUAUUUACUGUCCUCUGAAAAUAACUCAACAUACACUGUAGCUGCAUGGCAACAAAAGUGAACAUGUCAAAACUCUCCAAGUGUCAAUAUUUUGUGUGAGCACCAGUGUUAUCUAGCCAUUGUAUUAUUUAAUUUAGUUAUAUAAAAAAUCCUAAUGUUUCAGAAUACAAAUAUGCUUUUAGCAACAGAAUAUUAAAGGUUAU
Pimephales promelas (fathead minnow) is the source of this 1206-nucleotide long non-coding RNA. RefSeq lists it as uncharacterized. The record is from RefSeq and is a predicted model, not a curated record. NCBI's taxonomy places the organism in Eukaryota, Metazoa, Chordata, Actinopteri, Cypriniformes, Leuciscidae.